UAGGGAAUCUUCGGCAAUGGGGGCAACCCUGACCGAGCAACGCCGCGUGAGUGAAGAAGGUUUUCGGAUCGUAAAGCUCUGCUGUAAGUCAAGAACGAGUGUGAGAGUGGAAAGUUCACACUGUGACGGUAGCUUACCAGAAAGGGACGGCUAACUACGUGCCAGCAGCCGCGGUAAUACGUAGGUCCCGAGCGUUGUCCGGAUUUAUUGGGCGUAAAGCGAGCGCAGGCGGUUUGAUAAGUCUGAAGUUAAAGGCUGUGGCUCAACCAUAGUUCGCUUUGGAAACUGUCAAACUUGAGUGCAGAAGGGGAGAGUGGAAUUCCAUGUGUAGCGGUGAAAUGCGUAGAUAUAUGGAGGAACACCGGUGGCGAAAGCGGCUCUCUGGUCUGUAACUGACGCUGAGGCUCGAAAGCGUGGGGAGCGAACAGGAUUAGAUACCCUGGUAGUCCACGCCGUAAACGAUGAGUGCUAGGUGUUGGAUCCUUUCCGGGAUUCAGUGCCGCAGCUAACGCAUUAAGCACUCCGCCUGGGGAGUACGACCGCAAGGUUG
Molecule: ribosomal RNA, 550 nt
Filed under: uncultured bacterium
Lineage: Bacteria
Description: bacterial SSU rRNA
Rfam family: Bacterial small subunit ribosomal RNA
Source: RNAcentral